UUUCCGUAGGUGAACCUGCGGAAGGAUCAUUGCGAGUAAUAAAGGCAUAUUGUGUGUGCCGGUAGGCGCACACCUUAUGUCAAGUAAACCAGCUGUGCAGGAAUGCAGAGUGUGGUGGUCUAUGAGAGUAGGCCUUGUGAGAUGAGGAGAGUGGUGGGUGGAGGUAGUAGAUUGUUUAUCUAUUGCCUGCCCUGUUCUCCUUUAUAAAUAUACACCCUUUUUCACUUGUCUGCCUUAUACAAAUAAACAACAAUAUUACAACUUUUAACAAUGGAUCUCUUGGCUCCU
Molecule: unclassified non-coding RNA, 288 nt
Filed under: soil metagenome
Description: partial contains small subunit ribosomal RNA, internal transcribed spacer 1, and 5.8S ribosomal RNA
Source: RNAcentral